UCUGGAGUGGACCGCCGGCAGAACGCACACAUCCCUGCUCAUAACCUGGAGGUCGUGGGUUCGAAUCCCACCCCCGCAACCA
Molecule: transfer RNA, 82 nt
Filed under: uncultured Chloroflexota bacterium
Lineage: Bacteria; Bacillati; Chloroflexota
Description: uncultured Chloroflexi bacterium tRNA-Pseudo-CAT
Source: RNAcentral